UGUCCUUGUAUCCACCCCUGACAUGGUCUUGGUACACAUGGUAGAGAAAUGGGCUGGGCUACCGUUCCAAGCUGUUUGUUAUGAAAACAUAUUGAAAACAAUCAUAGGAGUAUUAUUUGGGAAUGGCGUGGGGAUAUUCUUCCUGAAGAGGUUCUGGAGGAAAGAGGAUUGUUUCACCUGUGACCACACAGGAAUGGAGCAGAGUUUGCUGGUGCGUGAUUGGUAUUGGUAAGAGUCUCUUUGUGGGUCCAUCACUCUAACUUCAUGUUGAAUAGCAUUUGCCAAAAUUGUAGAACAACAUCUGAAGAGUGGUAGGUAAUAUUUUCACUUGUCAAUUUUGCCCCUUUUUUUUUUUUUUUUUUUUUUUUUUUUCUUGUAUGUGUAUAGCAGUCAGGAAUAGUCAGGAAGAGGACUUGGAUAAGCUUAAGUUUCCCUGAACUGACACUGAAUGACAUGCUCUUCCUAGGAGCCAAAAUGUUUCUUAAAGUUGGAUAUAUCCAUGGUGCAAGUAAAGGUUGUGAAUGCAACAAGGAUGGUGAGUGACUGGAUUUGAAUUUGAAUAGCAGUUGGGUCAGCUUUGUUGUUGUGUGGGCGAUGGUUUGAUUUCAUUGUUGCUGUCAAGACCUGUAGUACGUACGCACCAUUUUAUCCCAGAUCCAACAUCUUACUUUGUAAUGAUAAUCCUCUGAUGACAAAAUUUGUCUCUCUAUUGGAUGAUAACGCCUAUCUCUAAUGGCUUAUGAAUUUUGAGUGAAACCUCUCUUGUAUAUAUCUAGAUGUAAUGUUGUGAUGGAGAGUUUCUUAAUAGCUGUAAUUCUGUUCACAGGGCUUUGUUCCCAGGGUGGCUGUGAUCCACGUUUCCCAUUUUCUGAACAGAGCGUAUGCAUUUGGAAACAAUACGGCUGUGUUGCAGAAACUCCUGACCUUCCUUGAGCAAGUCUCAACAAGCACAUGAGGACAGACUGUUUUGUUUGACAAAACUGAGACUGAAUCCGUCAUGGUUUGAGUUGUUAGAGUUAGGGUAGUCUGGUUACUUUGAGGUUGGGCUUGACAAUCUUGAAGGUCUUUUCUACCCCAAGCAAUUGUAUGAUUCUAUGGUGGGUUUUUUUGUUUGUUUGUUUGUUUGUUUGUUUUGUUGAUUUUUUUUAAAUAAUUUGAAAAAGUUCCCGUAUUAACUCUUUUUUAUUUAAAGUUUCAUAGUCUUUGGAGAUGAGCGGGAGAGUUGGAAUCUUUCUGAGAAGUGGUGAUUUUUUCCUAAAAUGAAAUCUUCCAUUGUGCAAUUUAUGGGAAGAAUUUAGGGCCCUACUUGCAGCUUAAGAACCGAUUGGAUUCCAGGUGUAGUGGAAUAGAAUUUCAGUUUCCAUAGAGAAGACCAUUAUUCCCUCUGGAGUUUGUCAGCCUCAUUUCUCUUUGAAUGUUUCCACGUGCUGCUGGACUGAUUGACAGCAUUUCCUGCCCUUAUGUCCAUGUACAUAUGUUGAAUUGGAAAAGGCAACAAAAAUAGUGUUGUAUUUAUUUUCAUUUUAGUAAUGUGUUAUGUCUUCGUGUGCCACUAGCUGGGUAUUUCACGAGAGCCAGAGCUGGUGAGGAGUGGCAGAGAUGUGCGGGUACCUCUUUGCUCUCUUCCUUUUUUAUGUCUCUGCUGCCGACGUAAGCCUUAAAGGAUAGGAAGGUCCAUUAGAAUUGUGGAAAUGAGGGAGUCGUUUCCGUACUUUGAAUGUGUAGAGCUGUCAAGGAUAAAACUUGGAUAUAUUUCUCUUUCAAAGCAAUGUCAGAGAAUCAAGUUCUCUCGCGAUUGUCUGGCAUAUCAGCAGGAAUGUGGAUUCUGUCCAUGGUGCUGAAAAGGUGAGAGAUUUCAGAGAGGUGCGUGAGAGCUUGGCUUAGAGUUUGGAAAAUCGUUGGGUUCAGAAGGCUCUGUCUGGCCUCUUGGAACCAACCCUUCUUGUCUGGAUUUCCUUUCACAUCUGGUGCAAAUACCUGCAACUGUUUCUGCUAUGAUCCUAGCUUCUUUGUCCUUGGAGGCAGUGUUGGUUCGCCAAGAAUCUUGCAUUUGGCAAAAGUUACAUAUGUAGAGCAGGCCUGAGAAGUGAAAGAGACUGAAUGCAGCUGUAGGUACUGACUUCUGUGAUGUUAAAGGAAAAGAAGAGCGGAAGAGUUGUGUGGGGAAAGAUGUUUCCUGAAAACCCUCAUCUAGCACCAUACCAGGUGCCAUAUAGUGCUGUAAGAUUUCACCUGCAUGUACACCUGAUUGCAUGUCCCUGAUGGGACAAGGUUUCCUUCGCACCAAGUGCCACGGUGUUUUCUUCCAGUGUAUGCGUAGGAAUCUCAUUAGAAAUUGAAGUGAACUGAAAGCAGGGCCGGGGUUUUCAACUGUUCCAGACUGCAAGCAUGCAAGCAUACUAGAGGGAUCUGGUGGGUGCCAAAUGUCCAAACAAAGAGUGGCAGAAACUAUUUCUCUGUCACUUUUGUGUGGAUGCUCUCUCGUACAUGUCUUGGUUUUCCAAAGGCUAGAGAUUAUUGUUCUUGCAACAUAGACAUAGAGUUCACAGGCAGUACAAGAGCAUCAAGCCUUCCCUUGAAUCAGGAAGAUUGAUGGGUCAGCAGUGUACUUGACUGUACCAUGUUUUGAUUACUCAUACUGUGUCAAAGUUAGUGCCUAUUUCACUGAGCCCCUUUCUUCCAGUGUUGUGACAAUCAUAACUGACAAUCUUUUCUGUACAAGCCUUCAACCAGCACCACUGGAUGUAAAUUCACCUCACACGGAAAUGCAGCUUGAAUUUUCAUUGACUUCCAAGUGCUCAUUUUCGGGCAAAGUUGUAUCAAUGGAACUACACACUGCAGUAGUGCUCCUCCCAUGGACCUGCUGUUUCUUUAUAAUUAGAAUCAGAAGUAUUUGAAAUGACUGAGCUACUGGUUUGCAAGGAGAAGUUCUGAAGGACACAGCCAUGCUCUUCUACCCAUUGUUGUAAUCAAGAAAUAGCAAAAGGUCAACAUUAUUACGUACACGGAUGACCUCUCAAAGCUCUGUGCCAUGCUAGUUAUACGGAGAAGUGGUACAGACUUGUCUGCAAUGCCUGUGGCCACUUCUUCUGGGUUGUUCUCAUUUCUUGGAAGACUGGAGGCACAGGGCCUGCCAUCUCAGAGGGCUCAGGGGAUCUCCUAGCUCUUCAUCUAACCCAAAAAGGAGGAACAGCAGGGACUGGGAGCUUGACUUCAUGAUACACUGGUAAAUGUGCAUGGGACAUUCCCUUCACAGUGUGUUACGGACACAUGGGAAGGGUUUAUUUCAGUCUGCUGGCAUGGAAAUUACAACAGAAACCGGGAGUGAAUCUAGCACUGAGUUGUGGAAAGACUAGAAGAAUAAUCGGAGUUCAUGGUGGAGAAGCUACUACUGGGGAAAAAAAAAUCGAAAAACAACAAAAAAAACCCACUCAGAACUACUUGGAGUUGGAAGUAAAAAUGAAAAGCUUAUGGAGAACAUAGCC
RNAcentral lists this long non-coding RNA (3485 nucleotides) under Gallus gallus (chicken). The record is from RNAcentral. Lineage: Eukaryota; Metazoa; Chordata; Aves; Galliformes; Phasianidae.